GUACACAUUUCUGUUGUAGCCCCGAACAAACUCUUGAUUCAACCUUUUAACUAAUCAUCAAUCCCUGGAUGAGAAGAAUCAGGUGAGUUUGUCUGGGGCUACAACAAAAAUGUGUGCUGUUGGGGAAACACUGCUCUAGCACAUGCCUACAUCAAUCCAAUGCUUUUAAAAGUGAAUGAGUGCACACUUUGGGAAGAAGGAAAGAUUAUUGGGACACACCCUGAGAGUGACUGGGGAAAAGCAGCAGCAGCAGCCUAUUAAACCCCACGUUCUUAUGUGAUUCUGUACACACCAGGGUUGGUAACAAAUUUGUCUGGGAAAGGGCCUUAUGUUGUGUCUGGUAACAGGAGGAUAGGUCAAGAUGACACUAUAUUAACCAUACAAAGGAUGGGGAUGGUGGGGCACUUUUUAAUUUAGGCCUAGAUGUGGGCAGAGCAAAGAAAGGUAAAAGGAAAUCAGUCUUUAGAGCAUCCUGUUUGUGGGCAGCUAGGGUUUUUCUUCUCUCCCCUCUCUCUCAAUUUGAUGUUAAAGGCCCAGUGCAAUCAAUUCUGUUUUCCUGUGUUUUAUAUUCUAUUGUACAGUAGACGAUGAAACGAACACUGUAACAGUGUGGUCAGUGUUAUUUCCUGGUAGUUGCUGGUUUAAAAUUCAAUCUACACAGGAGCUUUUAAUGAGCAGGUUUGCAUGGAUGGGAGUUUCUGCUUUCCAUUGUGACAUCACCAUGUGGUAAAUUGGUUAAUUGAUCAGUAACACAGAUAGUUCUAAACCCCUCUGCCAAUAACGGCAAUCUUUGGCACUUUUUCAUGGAAAUCUAUUACAGUAAUGUACUUAAUUGUUAUCCAGAAGUGAUUUGAUAUUUAUAUAAAAAUGGCUACAUUGGGCCUUUAAGUAGCUACCUUUAGCACCUCUCAGUACCUUAAAACAGUAUUAUGUGUUUGGUUAUACUGUAGCGGCAUGAGUCAUGAUGUCAACAGUCCUCCUAUACUGUAUGAGUCAUGUCAAGCUGAACAGGAUCAUCUUUUUUCUACACUAACUGUAUGAUGACCUACUACAGUAACUCCUUUUAUGAAAUUACAGACAGUGAUGUAGUAUAAUUGUUAGUGAGUUUUUAGAAUGGCAUAUCUAUAUCUCUGUGCAACUGAUGAGGUUAAAAUGUAGAGUGUUUUCUUAUGCUUGUUAGACAGCCUCUAAUUUCCCAGGACUUGAGCCUGAACCCAGGACUCACUGGAAAACAGUGGUAAGUGUAACUGACAAGUCAACUCAGCGACCCUGUUAUUUGUGUGAGAGCAGAUGUCAAGAAGACUUGUAGCCUACUAACUGUUGCAUUUUAUUUUAUGUGUGCUCUUGUUGCAAAAGCAAUUUCCCUGUCUAUACAACAAAUACAGUUGAACAUUCUUUCAUUGAGUGGAGCAAAUAUGUGUAAACUGUCUAAUUGUGUUGCAGAACAACAGUGGGACUCUGGCCACCUUCUCUCUUCCUCCACGGAUGAUCUACCCAGUCCAGAUCCCUGCAGGGUUCACAAUGCAGACAUCCUCUGGCCAGCUUUACAUGGUCAACUUUAUAGUGAUGGUGUCUCAGGUUCCAGCCGGCCACAGCCCUCUCCCCUCAGCUCCAGAAGGGGGUACCUGUAGUGGAGUGGAAAGAUCCCAGCUCAUCUUCCCAGCAGUCAGCUAUGGUGGUCCCUUCUACUGUCCUCAAGACCAUGACCACUCCGAAGACAGAUCCGUUCUCCCCACGACCUGUGGCCCCUCCCACAGCUGUACCUCAGACACCAGAGCAGACCCUGAUACGUCCAGUCCAGGUGAUGCCUCCGGUCCAGCCACCUGAUGAGAAGCCUGUGCUACCCAAACCCGUGGUCCAGCCACCCAGUUCAGGAGAACCAUCUCCUUCAGCAGCCACAGGUUCCUUUAGCUCAGGCACGCUUUUCUGUGCAGACUCCAGUGUCCUUUUAUUUUCGUCCCAACCGCCAUCUCACCCCCAGAGAGCCCUUUCGACAGUCCACAGCAGCUAGACAUGAGCCUGUCCUCGUCCCUUUCCUCUGGCUCCGCCCAGAUGCCAAGCCUUUAGGUAAAGUAUUAUGUUUUUUUUCAACGACUUGUGGACAACUCAGCCAUAUCUUCAUCAAAUAGUCAACAAUCUCAUGUAAUUGAAUUACAAUGGCAAGGCAGGGUACUGCUAUAAUUAAUAAGACAGAGGCUUCCUCCCAAAUGACACCCUAUUCCCUAUAGAGUACACAUCCUGACCAGGGACCAUAGGGCUCUAGUCAAAUGUAGUGCACUUUUAUUGAGAAUAGGGUGCCAUUGGACAACAAGAGACCCGAGCCAAGGUUCAACAUACAGCUUACAUAAUCAUGUCUAUUUUACCCAGGUCAAGAUGAAGAUGAGCAUU
Oncorhynchus nerka (sockeye salmon) is the source of this 2388-nucleotide long non-coding RNA. RefSeq lists it as uncharacterized. The record is from RefSeq and is a predicted model, not a curated record. NCBI's taxonomy places the organism in Eukaryota, Metazoa, Chordata, Actinopteri, Salmoniformes, Salmonidae. The transcript has 3 exons.